RNAcentral lists this ribosomal RNA (496 nucleotides) under uncultured bacterium. RNAcentral's name for it is "partial 16S ribosomal RNA". It matches the Rfam family "Bacterial small subunit ribosomal RNA", at positions 28 to 506 of the family's 1533-position model. The record is from RNAcentral.
GAUGAACGCUGGCGGCGUGCCUAAUACAUGCAAGUCGAGCGAACGGACGAGAAGCUUGCUUCUCUGAUGUUAGCGGCGGACGGGUGAGUAACACGUGGAUAACCUACCUAUAAGACUGGGAUAACUUCGGGAAACCGUAGCUAAUACCGGAUAAUAUUUUGAACCGCAUGGUUCAAAAGUGAAAGACGGUCUUGCUGUCACUUAUAGAUGGAUCCGCGCUGCAUUAGCUAGUUGGUAAGGUAACGGCUUACCAAGGCAACGAUGCAUAGCCGACCUGAGAGGGUGAUCGGCCCCACUGGAACUGGGACACGGUCCAGACUCCUACGGGAGGCAGCAGUGGGGAAUCUGCCGCAAUGGGCGAAAGCCUGACGGAGCAACGCCGCGUGAGUGAUGAAGGUCUUCGGUUCGUAAAACUCUGUUAUUGGGGAAGAACAUAUGUGUAAGUAACUGUGCACAUCUUGACGGUACCUAAUCAGAAAGCCACGGCUACCUACUU